GAAGCCAUCUUGAUUUAUCUAGGGAGACAUUAUUGCGUAGUGCUGAAGAAAAUGGCAUUUCAUGUCUGAUAUGAGUUUAAAGCCAAGUACCAACACCCUAAUUGUUGUGUGGCAUUAAAAGUUGACUCUAAAUCCGUCCUGGAAUUUGGCACAUGUAUGGGAUAUGGAUAGAAAAUAAGAGCAAAGAGGAAUUCAAGAUAAUGAGGCAAUAUAAACAAAAGUUGAAAAGAGAAAAUGAGCAUGCAGUGCCUAGAGAUGCCAAGGAAUCCAGAUCACUGAGGUCGGAUAGAUGUGUCUUUCCAGAAUUUGAUGAGGUUAACCAGGUAGAGCCAGAUGGUAGAGAUCCUUGAAUACCAGGCAAGGGAGUUCAUCUCUCCACCUGUAAGCAUGAAGGAGCCACGGGAGAUUUUGCAAAGGGAAUGACCAAAACGAAAAUGGCAUUUAGGAAAUGAGUUUGCCAGAAGUACCUGGGAGAAAUGGGGACUAGGCACUGAGAAUGUAAUUCAUAGCACAGCAGAACAGAUACUAAAAGAUCGUUCUGGAAGCAGAAGGGCUGGUUUCCAGCUUUUCUGAGGUUGUUUCACUGUGGGUAACUGCUAAGGCCUUCACCCUUGAUGCCAGAGGUGCUGAAACACAUUGCCACACGGCGAAAGAAGUGCCCUAUUGGCCCAAACACAUUGAAUAAACAUCUACCUCAAACC
This is a long non-coding RNA of Homo sapiens (human), 701 nucleotides long. Lineage: Eukaryota; Metazoa; Chordata; Mammalia; Primates; Hominidae. The record is from Ensembl.